Nicotiana attenuata is the source of this 2029-nucleotide long non-coding RNA. RefSeq lists it as uncharacterized. The record is from RefSeq and is a predicted model, not a curated record. The transcript has 5 exons. NCBI's taxonomy places the organism in Eukaryota, Viridiplantae, Streptophyta, Magnoliopsida, Solanales, Solanaceae.
GGCAUCUUCUUUAAAUUUUAUUGCUAAAGUCUUGAAACUUUGAUCUUUUUUUCAUAAAGGUUGAUUUUUGGCACAAAAGACUAAAACUUUUAGUUAGUUUUGAAAGUUUCUUCAUCUCACGGACAUUGUUUAAUCUGCUUGCAGCUGAUUUUGUACUUACUAAAGAUUGCAGUUCUACUAGACAGAGAUGCCAAAGCAAAAUCGGGUGAAAAAUCUAUUCAAAUCAAUCAAAGGGAGCUCUUCACUUGCUCCAGAGCAGUCAUCACAUGCUUAGUCUCAGGCUCAAGCAUCAUAUUCAUCUUCUAAUCGAUACUCUUUACGUCAUACACAACCCAUCAUUCCAGUUGCAUCAACUAAUAGAGUCUCGUCACAGAAUGGCAUUCCAGCUGCAUCAACUAAUAGAGUCUCGUCACAGAAUGACAUUCCAGCUUCAUCAACUAAUAAAGUCUCGUCACAAAAUGACAUUCCAGCUUCAUCAACUAAUAGAGUCCCUUCACAGAAUAUCAUUUCAUCUUCAUCAUCUGAUGAAGUCUCUUCACAAUCAACUACACGUGGACGAGUUACAGAUGACUCAGAGCCUCGUGAUUGGGUUGUCGAUGUUAUAGCAAUUGCUCAAUUUUUUUUCUAGUUUUUGUCACUGCUUAAAGAUUUGGAUUAAUGUAGACAGAGGAUAUCAAGAACCGAUGAUGGUUGAACUCAAUCUACUGCUGGUAGUAGCACAUAUUGUUUCCAUGUCAUGUUUCCAUUUUCAAUUUGUCAUCUGUUUUCAUUCUGAUGGUUCACAUGACAUCCAAUUCAUACGUAAUAAUUUCCAAUACAGAUUCCUUUUCAAAUUAAGUCACCUUUUUUUUCAAUAACGUGAUGCCCUGUCCCUCGUGAUUGCAACCGAUUCCCAUGAUUUUGUUUUUCCUCGAUUAAUAUUUUUAUAUGUUCUUUGUUGCAGAUGAACGUCAAGUAAUAAAAUCUAUUAGGUUGAAGGUUCAGGAUGUCCAUAACUUGGAGAAUGGAUCGCGUAUAAUUGUAGAAUGUGAUGAGUUUGCUCAACCUAUUGGAAAAUUAGCCGGCCUUCUUGCAGGAUUUUUAGGGUAGUUUGCUACAAAUCCUCGAUACUUUUCUAUUGGCUUCGAGAGUUGGGCAUCCAUGCCUAAACCUUUUGUGAACCGUGCUUUUAAUGAUUUCGUAAUGGUAAUACCUUUUAAUUCUUUUGCUUAGUUUGUAUGUUAUAGUUCUGUCAGUAGUAAACUAACAUAUAUUAUUUUAUGAAGUCUCGAUUUUUCUUUAUGAGUGAUUCGCAAAAGGUAAAAGGAUGGAUUAACGAUUCGCUUAACAAAAAGUGGAAGAAAUUCAGGCUUAAGCUAUGGCAUGAGGCUGAGGAUCCAUUACUAAAGAAGAUAUCAUCAAGUACGCUCUAGAAGGAAUUCCCAUGGACCAACGGGCAUUGUAUGUUAACUAGUUCAAAAGAGGAAACAAAGGAAAGAAUUGAAGAAAUUCGAAGACAUAGACCAGAAACUCUGGCAGAAAUUUCACUGAAUAACGCGCUUGGUGUAGUCUUCGGUCCCGAGCACCCUGGCCGUGUUCAGGGCUUAGGCAUGGGUGCAGUUCCAACUGUAGUAUUCAAGCAAACAUCAAGAUGAGGUGGUUGUUCUUAUAUUGGCGCAGCUAGCACUAGUGCUCCACCUCCACAAUGGAUGCAAGAGAUGGCAAAUAUGAGAUCACAAUUAAAUGCGCUAACAAGCUUAUUUCAAAUGAAAAUAAGAAAUAUCCCGAGUAAUUUUCUCACUUAUUUCCGACUCCUUCACAGGCACCCAAUCUAGGAGAUGACGUUCCGUCACCAAGUGGGCCAAGAAGAUCCUUUAACGGAAGUAACUAUGAAAACGAAGCAAACAACAAUUAGUAAUCAUUGUUAGGAUGGACUAUGUUUUUUUUGUGUUGUAACUGUUGAAUAACUUCUUAACUUUCUGCAACUUAAACUUGAAUCUUGGAUGAUGUGGAUUUUGGGUAUGUUUUAAUAUGAUGAAUAUUUUGCUUA